GAGCGGUCUAAGGCGCUGGAUUAAGGCUCCAGUCUCUUCGGGGGCGUGGGUUCGAAUCCCACCGCUGCCAGGGUUGCUGUCUUUUUGUCCCCGCUGCAUACACUCCCGGCUCAGUUUUGCGCGUGCCAUCAGCGCCCCCUGCUGCAGGGCGGGGCUCACGGCCUGCAUGAAUGGCGCGGCGGAGGGGGCGGAGCCGCGUGCACCGGGGCGGGGCAUUGUGGGUAAGAGGAAACGCUGGGGCCGGCCCGCUCCCCCCCACGUGUCCGCCGGAGUUUCUCCACCAGCAACAUGGCCGCCGCCUGAGAGGAGAGCCGGGCCGCCGCCGCCUCUGCAGCCCGCGGGUAACUGGGCCGUUGCCGCCGUCCGCGCUCGGCCCCCGCGGAGAGAUCGAGCUGAAGGACUGCGCGGCUGGCUCUCCUCUAGUAUGGCCAAUGAAGAGGAUGACCCAGUUGUACAGGAGAUCGAUGUGUACUUGGCCAAGAGUCUGGCGGAAAAGCUGUAUCUAUUUCAGUACCCUGUGCGUCCAGCCUCGAUGACCUAUGAUGACAUUCCGCACCUCUCAGCCAAGAUCAAGCCCAAGCAGCAGAAGGUAGAGCUUGAGAUGGCCAUCGACACCCUGAACCCCAACUAUUGCCGCAGCAAAGGGGAGCAGAUUGCGCUGAACGUGGACGGGGCCUGUGCCGAUGAGACCAGCACGUAUUCCUCGAAGCUGAUGGACAAGCAGACCUUCUGCUCUUCCCAGACCACCAGUAACACAUCCCGUUAUGCCGCUGCACUCUACAGGCAAGGUGAGCUCCACCUGACACCUUUACAUGGCAUCCUGCAGCUGCGGCCCAGCUUCUCCUACCUGGAUAAGGCUGACGCCAAGCACCGGGAGAGGGAGGCGGCCAACGAGGCAGGGGACUCUUCACAGGAUGAGGCGGAAGACGAUGUUAAGCAGAUCACGGUGCGGUUCUCCCGGCCGGAGUCAGAGCAGGCCCGCCAGCGCCGUGUGCAGUCCUAUGAGUUCCUGCAGAAGAAGCACGCAGAGGAGCCCUGGGUCCACCUGCAUUACUAUGGCCUGAGGGACAGUCGCUCUGAGCAUGAGCGUCAGUACCUGCUGUGCCCUGGCUCGAGCGGGGUGGAGAACACGGAGCUCGUCAAGUCACCCAGUGAGUACCUGAUGAUGCUGAUGCCACCCAGCCAGGAGGAGGAGAAAGACAAGCCUGUGGCCCCCAGCAACGUCCUGUCGAUGGCCCAGCUGCGCACGCUGCCCCUGGCCGAUCAGAUCAAGAUCCUGAUGAAGAAUGUGAAGGUCAUGCCUUUUGCCAACUUGAUGAGCCUCCUGGGCCCCUCCAUCGAUUCCGUGGCUGUUCUGCGGGGCAUCCAGAAGGUGGCGAUGUUGGUCCAAGGGAACUGGGUGGUGAAGAGUGACAUCCUAUACCCCAAGGACUCAUCCAGCCCUCACAGCGGCGUGCCUGCUGAGGUGCUCUGCAGGGGCCGAGACUUCGUUAUGUGGAAGUUCACGCAGAGCCGCUGGGUGGUUAGGAAAGAGGUGGCAACCGUGACCAAACUCUGCGCCGAGGAUGUGAAGGACUUCCUGGAGCACAUGGCCGUGGUGAGGAUCAACAAAGGCUGGGAGUUCAUUCUGCCUUAUGAUGGGGAGUUCAUCAAGAAGCACCCGGAUGUGGUCCAGCGGCAGCACAUGCUGUGGACGGGUAUCCAGGCCAAACUGGAAAAAGUCUAUAAUCUUGUAAAGGAAACCAUGCCAAAGAAGCCGGAUGCACAAUCAGGGCCUGCCGGGCUGGUCUCUGGGGACCAGCGGAUCCAAGUAGCCAAAACCAAGGCCCAGCAGAACCACGCGUUGCUGGAGCGGGAGCUGCAGCGGCGGAAGGAGCAGCUGCGGGUGCCUGCGGUCCCGCCCGGUGUGCGGAUCAAGGAGGAGCCCGUGAGCGAGGAGGACGAGGAGCAGGAGGUGGAGGAGGAGCCCAUGGACACUUCCCCCAGCGGCCUCCACAGCAAGCUGGCCAACGGGCUGCCUCUCGGGCGGGCUGCGGGCACAGACAGCUUCAACGGGCACCCGCCCCAGGGCUGCGCCAGCACCCCUGUGGCUCGGGAACUGAAGGCCUUCGUGGAGGCCACCUUUCAGAGACAGUUUGUGCUCACGCUGAGCGAACUCAAGCGCCUCUUCAAUCUGCACUUGGCCAGCCUGCCCCCCGGCCACACACUCUUCAGCGGCAUCUCGGACCGCAUGCUACAGGACACGGUGCUGGCCGCCGGUUGCAAGCAGAUACUGGUGCCUAUGAAGAAACUGAGGCUCCAAGGAAUGAAAUGUACGUUUAAAGGUCACUACCUAGGAGGUAGUAGAGCUGGAAUUUGGACCUCAGUAUAGUGGCCUGGAGUUUUGAAUCCUUUCUGCUCAGCUAAGAUGAGCUGCUUCCCCACAGCUGCGCCACGCCCCAGCUUGGGCCUGGGUCCUGGCGGCCUCCCUGUGCAUCAGAAGCAAGCUGACCAGCUCAGCGCUGUGCUCUCAGCACUUCCAGUGCCAGGCCUUGAGUGUGGUAUUGCAAGCCUCCUGCCCCUUCCCCCUGGGCUGCUUUUCUGUCACUGGGAGGGGCCCUGACGGGGGAGCAGAGUGCUUGCUGGGGACUGUUUCCCUGCGCUGAGGAUAGAGAGCGCCAGGUGCUGCCUGAGGCACGCCUUUCCCGUGCUCCUUUUCCACAAGGCUCUGCCCAGACCUGGCAGCAAAAUGGGGUGAGGUGGGGCUGUGGUGGUCUCUAAGAAAGCAUUGAUGUUUUCAUUGCCAAGGUCAGGAGCGCCUGCAGCCUUGGGUGAUGAUCUGAGGCCAAGGCCCAUCCCUGUGUAUGAGGAAUAGAAACUAGGACAGGAGGCCGUGUGGAGCCUAGGCUGUCUCAGGGGAUCGGCCCUGCUGGCAGGCGGCCCCCUGUGGGAGGUACUGGCAGAGUUCGGAGCUCCUGCCCACCCGGCACAUGGGUCUGGGUCUCCACAAGCUCACCUUUCUUCAUGAGCUGGGCCAGGCCGGGGAGGACACCUGCCUGACAUUAGUGAGUUGUUUUGGGCCGCUGGAGUGGACAGAGGUGAGGGGUGGGACAUGGCCACCCUCAGACACCCUGACCCCUCCUUCCGGACCCCCUCUGUCCAUGUUGCUUUGGGGUGGGGCCAGUGUCUCCAGGAGACACCAUGGCCCUAACUGUAAUGCUCUCCUUGCCAUCCUGACAAGGAGACUGUAUUGUAGUCACACCAAGAGACCUCAGAUCCCAGCCACCUCUGUGUUGUACAUGAGGGAGCUGAGGUCCAGGGCAAGUGAAUAGAUGGAGAACUUGACUUGAACUCCUGGUUCUGCUGCUUAUUAGCUGUGUGACCAUGGACAGUGAGCAAACCUCUCUGAGCUUACUUUUCCCCAUGUACUACCUCCCCAGUUUCUAAUGCUCAAAUGCAAAUGUGUAUUGGAGGCCUCACAGGGCUUUUACUGGUAGUAACCAUUAUUGCUACUUGUGUGAUGGAACCAGGACUGGAAACUACCAUCCCAGAUGCCCCCUCCCCUGUCCCCUUCUCUCCAGGACCCAGGCCUGUGUCACACUUGUCCUGGUCUACCUUUGGACCAAGUGGCCUGGAUUGCUUGGGAGUCAGGCAGUGCCUCUAACCCACACUGACACGGUACUUGUGGGAAGCAGUUGAAAAGAACCCCCAGGGUACCCCAAGAGUUAUGGGGAAGGGGGCGCCCCUCCAUCAGGGUUGGCAUCUUCAGGAGGGAGGACUCUGGGUGUUAAAGCACAGUUGAGUUGGUGCCAGGCUGAUGGGAAACAGACGCAGCUUCCCCACUGUACGGAGGAUAUCUGCAGAUUCGAAGCCGGGCAUUUCACUGGGCCCAUCACACUCCCCCUCUCUCUGGAGCCCUGUCAGGCCCUGGGGGGUGUGCCGGCCUCCUCCCCAUGGUGAGGUGAGAGGCGCAGGUUUGUGGCUGCCCAAGUCCCUCAGAGAUGGUGAGUAGCAGAAGCUGGGAUUGGAACCCAUGUUCCUGCAUCUGGGCUGGGGCAGACAGGGAGGGAUGAGGCAAGCAAAUGGAUCCAUGGGGUAGAGAUGGACAAGCAACUCACACCUGGGCCUUGGUCAGUUUCCCCCACAGACUGCUGCUUCCCCGGAUGAGCAGAAGGUGUUUGCCCUCUGGGAGUCUGGAGACAUGAGUGAUCAGCAUCGACAGGUUUUGCUUGAAAUUUUUUCCAAAAAUUACCGGGUACGCCGAAACAUGAUCCAGUCUCGGUUGACUCAAGAGUGUGGAGAAGAUCUCAGUAAACAGGAGGUGGAUAAAGUACUAAAGGACUGCUGUGUAAGCUAUGGUGGCAUGUGGUACCUUAAAGGGACAGUACAGUCUUGACAAUAGUAGCAAACUACUAACCCAGCAAAUCUAAGCCCAAGGAAGAAGGGCGGAACCAGAAGUAGGGCCUCAACUUGCUUCAGACGACACAGAGCAAGAGGAACUGACCAUCUCAUGACCUGUGGCAUUGCACGGUGCAGUGGACAGAAGGGAUUAUCCUCAGCCAGUCGCAGGGUCAGCUUAAGUUAGAUCACUCCCAGAAGAGACCAGCUGGGACCUUCUUUGCAGUACAAUUUGAAAUUCCUGAUGUAUUUUGCUUAUUAUUUGGUUUCAUUCUCAUAAUAAAGAGAGUGUAUACUGACAUGGGCAGGAUGAUAAAAAUCAUGGUUUAAUAUUUUCUUUUGUAAACUUAAUGCCAACAAGGUCUAAGUUAUGUUUACAACAUGAAGAAAACCUCAAAGUUCUUAAUUUUUAAAAUGCCUAGAAGACAAUAUUUAGUCUUGGAUUAUCUAUCUGCUAAGACCUCCACCAAUUUCAUUAAACCAAAUUGAAUUAUUCUAUUCUUGGGAUUCUGUGGCCACUUCACCUUUGACAACAACCUACUUUAUGUAGCAGUCUCAACUGUUUACAUGAACCAUAGCAAAAAAAUCAGAAUCAAAUCCAUCUCCUUUUAAUGUUUGCAGAAAGAUGCAAACAAAACCAGGUAAGUAUGGAACAAUGUGUAAGUGAGGUUAUCACACUUUGAUGUAAAAAUUUCUAUUUUGUGUAUUUUUAAAAUAAAUGCAAACACUAAACUAGCA
Pan troglodytes (chimpanzee) is the source of this 5115-nucleotide RNA transcript. It is a transcript of the gene named RNA polymerase III subunit E, with no coding region annotated. NCBI's taxonomy places the organism in Eukaryota, Metazoa, Chordata, Mammalia, Primates, Hominidae. The transcript has 21 exons. The record is from RefSeq and is a predicted model, not a curated record.